Molecule: long non-coding RNA, 441 nt
Organism: Selaginella moellendorffii
Lineage: Eukaryota; Viridiplantae; Streptophyta; Lycopodiopsida; Selaginellales; Selaginellaceae
Exons: 2
Source: RefSeq, a predicted model, not a curated record
CAGGAAGGAGCCCGUCUACGAGUGGCAUCAAAUGCGAGGAAGCAUGGCUUGGACACCCCCAAAUCAAGCUAUCGGUUUCAACUCCCUUUCCGGAUGAGAGCAUUUACUUGUUUUCCAUGCGGCUGUACAACGGUAUGCUCGAAAGCUGGUCGGGAAUUCUGGGCAAUGCCAACUUAUUUUUGUUGGGCUUGUGUAAAGAGACCAGGAAAAUUUGCGUAUCGUAUCUUAUGAAGGACCAGCACUCUCCCGUCUGUAAACGUUGGAGAUUUGGCAAUCUUAGCUCACAAGUCAAAAGAAGUGAGGAAACGAAAAUGCUAGACGUUAUUUCGUGGACUUUCUGCCAAAAGAAUCGACAUCCAGGAACAACACAGGCUCUAAUAUUUCUUAAUUGUGUUUUCGCAACACAACACCAGUAGCAAAGUUUUAAGCUUGGAAGAUGAA